This 472-nucleotide long non-coding RNA is filed under the name Pogona vitticeps (central bearded dragon). RNAcentral describes it as "lncRNA (ENSPVIG00000023606.1)". The record is from RNAcentral. Lineage: Eukaryota; Metazoa; Chordata; Lepidosauria; Squamata; Agamidae.
AAGCUCCAACAGUAACUUUAUCAGAGAAAGACAGUCAAAAAACAAACUCUCCUUUCUCAAUAGGCUUCAUCAUUUGGGUCAGAAUGCUGCUGUUUCUGUAACUUCUCCUGAGUAUCAUGGUGGCUCUUCUGGAUGCUUUUUGUCCUAGUCUCUCACCUUCUUAUGACUAGCUCAAGAGUCAACAGGCACAGAAAGGGAAGGAGGGACAAGGAUUUAGAAGAAGACAACUAUAACAUUAUGUCUGAUGACGUGGACUUGUCCAUGAAAGCCCACAUUAAAAAAUAAUAUAAAGUAAUCAUCUCCAGACAGGACCUGCUGAGACGUGGUUUCCAAUCUGGCCUCAUUCAGAGAAAGUUCUGACCCAAUUAACUGCAAGCAGCCCUCACUUGGAGGUGUUGAGAGAGUUGUGGAGCUUGCUUGAAUUCCACUAAAUGCACAGCAGGAAGCACCAGCCGAUUGGGCAGAAUUAGCU